Molecule: transfer RNA, 74 nt
Filed under: Podarcis lilfordi (Lilford's wall lizard)
Lineage: Eukaryota; Metazoa; Chordata; Lepidosauria; Squamata; Lacertidae
Description: tRNA.Ile
Rfam family: tRNA (bases 8-66)
About the family: Transfer RNA (tRNA) molecules are approximately 80 nucleotides in length.
Source: RNAcentral
GCCUGGAUAGCUCAGUUGGAUAGGGCAUGGUGCUGAUAUUGCCAAGGUUGCAGGUUUGAUUCCUGUAUGGGACA